CCUACGGGUGGCAGCAGUGGGGAAUAUUGCACAAUGGGGGAAACCCUGAUGCAGCGACGCCGCGUGAGUGAAGAAGUAUUUCGGUAUGUAAAGCUCUAUCAGCAGGAACGAGACAAGACGGUACCUGACCAAGACGCCCCGGCUAACUACGUGCCAGCAGCCGCGGUAAUACGGAGGGGGCAAGCGUUAUCCGGAAUCACUGGGUGUAAAGGGAGCGUAGACGGGUGUGCAAGCCUGAAGUGAAAGGCGGGGGCCCAACCCCUGGACUGCUUUGGGAACUGGACGGCUGGAGUGCAGGAGAGGUAAGUGGAAUUCCUAGUGUAGCGGUGAAAUGCGUAGAUAUUAGGAGGAACACCAGUGGCGAAGGCAGCUUACUGGACUGUAACUGACGUUGAGGCUCGAAAGCGUGGGGAGCAAACAGGAUUAGAUACCCCUGUAGUC
Molecule: ribosomal RNA, 441 nt
Filed under: uncultured bacterium
Lineage: Bacteria
Description: partial 16S ribosomal RNA
Rfam family: Bacterial small subunit ribosomal RNA
Source: RNAcentral